AACUUUUGGCAACGGAUCACUUGGCUCUCGCAUCGAUGAAGGACGCAGCGAAAUGCGUUAAGUAAUGUGAAUUGCAGAAUUCAGUGAAUCAUCGAAUCUUUGAACGCCCCUUGCGCUCCUUGGUAUUCCGAGGGGCAUGCCUGUUUGAGUGUCAUUAAAUUCUCAACCUCUCAGGUUGUUAGUUAAAUCUGUGAGGCUUGGAUUGUGGGGGUUGCAGGCUUCUUCAGAAGUUAGCUCUCCUUAAAUGCAUUAGUGGAAACCUUAUGUUGACCAUCCUUCGGUGUGAUAAUUAUCUGCGCCAUGGAUAAGACAGAGGAUUUUGCUUAUAACCGUCCUAAUGGACAACUAUUGACAUUUUGACCUCAAAUCAGGUAGGACUACCCGCUGAACUUAAGCAUAUCAAUAAGCGGAGGCU
Molecule: unclassified non-coding RNA, 415 nt
Filed under: uncultured Agaricales
Lineage: Eukaryota; Fungi; Basidiomycota; Agaricomycetes; Agaricales
Description: sequence contains ITS2
Rfam family: 5.8S ribosomal RNA (bases 1-154)
Source: RNAcentral